CAUUGAUAUACUGGGCUUUCAAAAAUAAUAUAAAAAUUUGUGUUAAAAUUUCUGCAUUUCAAUGCUUUCGUUUAAAUACUUUUUUAAUCAUUAAUAUAGUUAAAUUCAAAUUUAAUAUUGCCGAAAAUAUUUUUGAAAUGAGGACUGGUAUUCGCACUCAAAAGUAUAUGAAUUCACACAUAUAUAAGCCAAACACAUAGAUUGGAUAACAAUAGUUGCCAUGAAAAGUGGAAAUAAUGAAAACACAAGGAAGCGAACUGGCGAUGUCUUCAGGCAAAGCAACACUUAAGAUAACAAAGCAGUCAAGUAGAAAAACAACACGAAAAGAAAGCAAAUAAAAUGUUGAAAGAAUAACAAAAAUACCAACACAUACACAGCAAGACACAGGCACACAAACAGCCAUGUAAAUAUGUAUAAGUAAAAGUGUGUGCGUAUGUGUAUUCUAAUAUAACUGCGUCUCAUGCUAGCCACUUUGAAUGGGUGUAAAUAUGCUGCUGGGCCAAGUUAGAAAACAGCAACUAACCGAAAUACAAAAACAUAGAAUGAAAACUGAAGCGAGCAACAAAAGCUGGCUGAGGCAAACGUGCAAUAAAGGCGCCCGCCUAGAAGCGGGAAAAUAUACACACGACAAAAUACAGCAAGUUUAUACAAAAGUAAAAACAACAAAAAAUAUGUGAGAAAAGAAAAGGCGAAGCAAAUAGAAAAAACAACAAAACAAGUCAGGCAAAUGUGAGUUGCGCCGUACAACCUUUCACAUUUGGUCUACUUCCGGCGAUUGCGCACAACAACACAACGGUGUGUGAUAAAAUUAUAUGCGUACAUACGCAGCACGGACAUGUGUACUAGCUAAAGGCGAGAUAAUAUGUCGUAGUACUUAGUAAAAAUAAUUAAGAAGAACUGUUUUAAAUAUUUUUGUCUGUCACUGAAGAGUUUAUGAAUUGAUGAAGCGAUCGGGAGCUACGUUUAUGAUCUCUUGAUACCCAUAUUCAGUUUAUGUCAUCCCUGAGAGCCUUUUAGUAACAAAAAAAAAAAACCUUAUAAAAACUGAUUAUCAUGACGAAUAAAUCUUCGGAAAUUCUCA
Non-coding RNA from Bactrocera oleae (olive fruit fly), 1081 nucleotides. The record is from RefSeq and is a predicted model, not a curated record. Lineage: Eukaryota; Metazoa; Arthropoda; Insecta; Diptera; Tephritidae.